RNAcentral lists this ribosomal RNA (688 nucleotides) under Salmonella enterica. Its description in RNAcentral is "partial 23S ribosomal RNA". It matches the Rfam family "Bacterial large subunit ribosomal RNA", at positions 1 to 722 of the family's 2925-position model. Lineage: Bacteria; Pseudomonadati; Pseudomonadota; Gammaproteobacteria; Enterobacterales; Enterobacteriaceae. RNAcentral also lists the same sequence under 2 other names. The record is from RNAcentral.
GGGUUGUGAGGUUAAGCGACUAAGCGUACACGGUGGAUGCCCUGGCAGUCAGAGGCGAUGAAGGACGUGCUAAUCUGCGAUAAGCGCCGGUAAGGUGAUAUGAACCGUUAUAACCGGCGAUUUCCGAAUGGGGAAACCCAGUGUGACUCGUCACACUAUCAUUAACUGAAUCCAUAGGUUAAUGAGGCGAACCGGGGGAACUGAAACAUCUAAGUACCCCGAGGAAAAGAAAUCAACCGAGAUUCCCCCAGUAGCGGCGAGCGAACGGGGAGGAGCCCAGAGCCUGAAUCAGCAUGUGUGUUAGUGGAAGCGUCUGGAAAGGCGCGCGAUACAGGGUGACAGCCCCGUACACAAAAGCGCAUGUGCUGUGAGCUCGAUGAGUAGGGCGGGACACGUGGUAUCCUGUCUGAAUAUGGGGGGACCAUCCUCCAAGGCUAAAUACUCCUGACUGACCGAUAGUGAACCAGUACCGUGAGGGAAAGGCGAAAAGAACCCCGGCGAGGGGAGUGAAAAAGAACCUGAAACCGUGUACGUACAAGCAGUGGGAGCACCCUUUGGGGUGUGACUGCGUACCUUUUGUAUAAUGGGUCAGCGACUUAUAUUCUGUAGCAAGGUUAACCGAAUAGGGGAGCCGGAGGGAAACCGAGUCUUAAUUGGGCGUUAAGUUGCAGGGUAUAGACCCGAAACC